RNAcentral lists this ribosomal RNA (585 nucleotides) under uncultured Bacillota bacterium. RNAcentral's name for it is "bacterial SSU rRNA". The stretch from base 1 to 488 matches the Rfam family "Bacterial small subunit ribosomal RNA", at positions 367 to 873 of the family's 1533-position model. The record is from RNAcentral. Lineage: Bacteria; Bacillati; Bacillota.
GGCAAUGGGGGCAACCCUGACCGAGCAACGCCGCGUGAGUGAAGAAGGUUUUCGGAUCGUAAAGCUCUGUCGUAAGUCAAGAACGGGUGUGAGAGUGGAAAGUUCACACUGUGACGGUAGCUUACCAGAAAGGGACGGCUAACUACGUGCCAGCAGCCGCGGUAAUACGUAGGUCCCGAGCGUUGUCCGGAUUUAUUGGGCGUAAAGCGAGCGCAGGCGGUUUGAUAAGUCUGAAGUUAAAGGCUGUGGCUCAACCAUAGUUCGCUUUGGAAACUGUCAAACUUGAGUGCAGAAGGGGAGAGUGGAAUUCCAUGUGUAGCGGUGAAAUGCGUAGAUAUAUGGAGGAACACCGGUGGCGAAAGCGGCUCUCUGGUCUGUAACUGACGCUGAGGCUCGAAAGCGUGGGGAGCGAACAGGAUUAGAUACCCUGGUAGUCCACGCCGUAACGAUGAGUACUAGGUGUAAUCACUAGUGAAUUCGCGGCCGCCUGCAGGUCGACCAUAUGGGAGAGCUCCCAACGCGUUGGAUGCAUAGCUUGAGUAUUCUAUAGUGUCACCUAAAUAGCUUGGCGUAAUCAUGGUCAUA